GACGAACGCUGGCGGCGUGCUUAACACAUGCAAGUCGAACGGAAAGGCCCUGCUUUUGUGGGGUGCUCGAGUGGCGAACGGGUGAGUAACACGUGGGUAACCUGCCCUUGACUUUGGGAUAACUUCAGGAAACUGGGGCUAAUACCGGAUAGGAGCUCCUGCUGCAUGGUGGGGGUUGGAAAGUUUCGGCGGUUGGGGAUGGACUCGCGGCUUAUCAGCUUGUUGGUGGGGUAGUGGCUUACCAAGGCUUUGACGGGUAGCCGGCCCGAGAGGGUGACCGGCCACAUUGGGACUGAGAUACGGCCCAGACUCCUACGGGAGGCAGCAGUGGGGAAUAUUGCACAAUGGGCGGAAGCCUGAUGCAGCAACGCCGCGUGCGGGAUGACGGCCUUCGGGUUGUAAACCGCUUUCGCCUGUGACGAAGCGUGAGUGACGGUAAUGGGUAAAGAAGCACCGGCUAACUACGUG
RNAcentral lists this ribosomal RNA (468 nucleotides) under uncultured bacterium. RNAcentral describes it as "partial 16S ribosomal RNA". It matches the Rfam family "Bacterial small subunit ribosomal RNA", at positions 28 to 507 of the family's 1533-position model. The record is from RNAcentral.